GCAAACUUGGUCAUUUAGAGGAAGUAAAAGUCGUAACAAGGUUUCCGUAGGUGAACCUGCGGAAGGAUCAUUACUGAAAUGAUUUUCGGGGGAUGUUGGCUGGCCUCUUUCCUGAGGCAAUGUGCACUCCCCAGAAACAAUUCACAAUCUCCAUCACACCCUUGUGCACAUCCUGUAGGUGGCCCCAUUUGACCUGCUUGGUUCUUUGGGUGUUGUCCUAUGUACCCUAACCAUGUAACACAUGUUGUUUGAAUGUAUCUGUGAAAUAUCAAAAAACAAACAAACAAAACAACUUUCAACAAUGGAUCUCUUGGCUCUCGCAUCGAUGAAGAACGCAGC
RNAcentral lists this unclassified non-coding RNA (339 nucleotides) under uncultured fungus. RNAcentral describes it as "partial contains small subunit ribosomal RNA, internal transcribed spacer 1, and 5.8S ribosomal RNA". The stretch from base 1 to 73 matches the Rfam family "Eukaryotic small subunit ribosomal RNA", at positions 1759 to 1831 of the family's 1831-position model. Lineage: Eukaryota; Fungi. The record is from RNAcentral.